GGCGGCAGGCUACACAUGCAGUCGAGCGGAUGAAGGAGCUUGCUCCUGGAUUCAGCGGCGGACGGGUGAGUAAUGCCUAGGAAUCUGCCUGGUAGUGGGGGACAACGUUUCGAAAGGAACGCUAAUACCGCAUACGUCCUACGGGAGAAAGCAGGGGACCUUCGGGCCUUGCGCUAUCAGAUGAGCCUAGGUCGGAUUAGCUAGUUGGUGAGGUAAUGGCUCACCAAGGCGACGAUCCGUAACUGGUCUGAGAGGAUGAUCAG
This 263-nucleotide ribosomal RNA is filed under the name Pseudomonas reinekei. RNAcentral describes it as "partial 16S ribosomal RNA". It matches the Rfam family "Bacterial small subunit ribosomal RNA", at positions 38 to 307 of the family's 1533-position model. The record is from RNAcentral. Lineage: Bacteria; Pseudomonadati; Pseudomonadota; Gammaproteobacteria; Pseudomonadales; Pseudomonadaceae.